CCUACGGGAGGCAGCAGUGAGGAAUAUUGGUCAAUGGGCGCAAGCCUGAACCAGCCAAGUAGCGUGAAGGAUGACGGCCCUACGGAUUGUAAACUUCUUUUAUAAAGGAAUAAAGUGAGGGCCGUGUGCUUUUUUGUAUGUACUUUAUGAAUAAGGAUCGGCUAACUCCGUGCCAGCAGCCGCGGUAAUACGGAGGAUCCGAGCGUUAUCCGGAUUUAUUGGGUUUAAAGGGUGCGUAGAUGGGCUGUUAAGUCAGCGGUGAAAGUUUGCGGCUCAACCGUAAAAUUGCAGUUGAAACUGGCGGCCUUGAGUAGAGUUGAGGCAGGCGGAAUUCGUGGUGUAGCGGUGAAAUGCUUAGAUAUCACGCAGAACUCCGAUUGCGAAGGCAGCCUACCAAGC
Molecule: ribosomal RNA, 399 nt
Filed under: uncultured bacterium
Lineage: Bacteria
Description: partial 16S ribosomal RNA
Rfam family: Bacterial small subunit ribosomal RNA
Source: RNAcentral